This is a long non-coding RNA of Priapulus caudatus, 672 nucleotides long. RefSeq lists it as uncharacterized. The transcript is spliced from 2 exons. The record is from RefSeq and is a predicted model, not a curated record. Lineage: Eukaryota; Metazoa; Priapulida; Priapulimorpha; Priapulimorphida; Priapulidae.
UGUACACGCUCUGCGACAAACAGUGCAGCCGCGAACCAGUCUAGCCAGAGGUUACCUUUCGGUGCACCCUGGGUUGCACGCUGGCUUAAUGGGCUAGACACUGACAGGUAUUGUUUUAAGCACGAACACCGUCAUAAAGAUUCGAUGUUUUGCCUUGCACUGACAUUGUGAACAUUGUGCAUUUUGUAAUUACAAAUGUGAAUUAUAAGGCAGAAAGGUUAACCAUGAGCCAGCGCGGCGCCUGGCUGACGGCCUCACUCAGCGGGCUUGCGCAGUUUUUGCGCCGCUUAUCUUUAAGCCGCGCAAACAACAUAACAUUGUCGGUCAACGGUGUAUAAGCACAUGCCAUUCUGUCUCUCUCGUCACUUGUGUUCCUCGUUUCGUCCGGUCGUCGGCCGCGGCCGCGGGCUUUUCAGCAUCGCUCGUCGUCCGGUCGUGGCUGCCGCGGUUGUGACAGCGAGCACAGGGCGAGACACACCAAGAGAGAUACAGAGAAAGACAGACAGAGACACAGCGACACGGCGCAUAAUAAUGCAUUUUACGGUUACAUAGAAUGUGCGCAUAUGAAUUAUUUCUACCGAUAGAUGGCGCGAGGAUGUCAUAUUUCACGUAACUAUGAUUCCCUGUGCGCGUGUAUGCACACCAGUUUGCGUGAUAAAUGCAUUUAUCCUG